RNAcentral lists this small RNA (210 nucleotides) under Mycobacterium xenopi. Its description in RNAcentral is "c-di-AMP sequence". It matches the Rfam family "c-di-AMP riboswitch aptamer (ydaO/yuaA leader)". Rfam says of the family: This family represents a conserved RNA structure found upstream of the ydaO and yuaA genes in Bacillus subtilis and related genes in other bacteria. Lineage: Bacteria; Bacillati; Actinomycetota; Actinomycetes; Mycobacteriales; Mycobacteriaceae. The record is from RNAcentral.
CCGCCUAUAGCGCCGAGCUCCAUCCAGUAGGCGGGAGUCAACCGGGUGGAUGGAGGCGGGGACCCACCGGUCCGCCCGGAUCGGACCUGGAGCCGUCCGCGGCUCCUAGGGGUGAAGCCACGUCGUUUCCCCCGGAUGACGACGACGGCCGGGCAACCUCUCCAGCCCGAACCCGACAGCUGACCUCGUGGGCGCGUACAGGGAGGACUU